This 484-nucleotide ribosomal RNA is filed under the name uncultured bacterium. Its description in RNAcentral is "bacterial SSU rRNA". It matches the Rfam family "Bacterial small subunit ribosomal RNA", at positions 917 to 1382 of the family's 1533-position model. The record is from RNAcentral.
GGGCUCACACAAGCGGUGGAGCAUGUGGCUUAAUUCGAGGCUACGCGAAGAACCUUAUCCUGGACUUGACAUAUGCGAAAGCGCUGGGAGGUAGGACCCGGAAACGGGAACGAACGGUAUCCAAUCCGGAACCCAGUACAGGUGCUGCAUGGCUGUCGUCAGCUCGUGUCGUGAGAUGUCGGGUUAAGUCCCAUAACGAGCGAAACCCUUGCCCAUUAGUUGCCAGGUUAAUAGCCGACUCUAGGGGGACUGCCGGUGUUAAACCGGAGGAAGGUGGGGAUGACGUCAAGUCCUCAUGGCCUUUAUGUCCAGGGCUGCACACGUGCUACAAUGGCGUGAACAGAGGGACGCAAACGCGCGAGCGGGAGCAAAUCCCAAAAAACACGCCCCAGUUCAGAUCGUAGGCUGCAACUCGCCUGCGUGAAGUUGGAAUCGCUAGUAAUCGCGGGUCAGCAACACCGCGGUGAAUGUGUUCCUGAGCCUU